GAUGAACGCUGGCGGCGUGCCUAAUACAUGCAAGUCGAGCGAACAGACAAGGAGCUUGCUCCUUUGACGUUAGCGGCGGACGGGUGAGUAACACGUGGGUAACCUACCUAUAAGACUGGGAUAACUUCGGGAAACCGGAGCUAAUACCGGAUAAUAUUUCGAACCGCAUGGUUCGAUAGUGAAAGAUGGUUUUGCUAUCACUUAUAGAUGGACCCGCGCCGUAUUAGCUAGUUGGUAAGGUAACGGCUUACCAAGGCGACGAUACGUAGCCGACCUGAGAGGGUGAUCGGCCACACUGGAACUGAGACACGGUCCAGACUCCUACGGGAGGCAGCAGUAGGGAAUCUUCCGCAAUGGGCGAAAGCCUGACGGAGCGACGCCGCGUGAGUGAUGAAGGUCUUCGGAUCGUAAAACUCUGUUAUUAGGGAAGAACAUACGUGUAAGUAACUAUGCACGUCUUGACGGUACCUAAUCAGAAAGCCACGGCUAACUACGUGCCAGCAGCCGCGGUAAUACGUAGGUGGCAAGCGUUAUCCGGAAUUAUUGGGCGUAAAGCGCGCGUAGGCGGUUUUUUAAGUCUGAUGUGAAAGCCCACGGCUCAACCGUGGAGGGUCAUUGGAAACUGGAAAACUUGAGUGCAGAAGAGGAAAGUGGAAUUCCAUGUGUAGCGGUGAAAUGCGCAGAGAUAUGGAGGAACACCAGUGGCGAAGGCGACUUUCUGGUCUGUAACUGACGCUGACGUGCGAAAGCGUGGGGAUCAAACAGGAUUAGAUACCCUGGUAGUCCACGCCGUAAACGAUGAGUGCUAAGUGUUAGGGGGUUUCCGCCCCUUAGUGCUGCAGCUAACGCAUUAAGCACUCCGCCUGGGGAGUACGACCGCAAGGUUGAAACUCAAAGGAAUUGACGGGGACCCGCACAAGCGGUGGAGCAUGUGGUUUAAUUCGAAGCAACGCGAAGAACCUUACCAAAUCUUGACAUCCUUUGACAACUCUAGAGAUAGAGCCUUCCCCUUCGGGGGACAAAGUGACAGGUGGUGCAUGGUUGUCGUCAGCUCGUGUCGUGAGAUGUUGGGUUAAGUCCCGCAACGAGCGCAGCCCUUAAGCUUAGUUGCCAUCAUUAAGUUGGGCACUCUAAGUUGACUGCCGGUGACAAACCGGAGGAAGGUGGGGAUGACGUCAAAUCAUCAUGCCCCUUAUGAUUUGGGCUACACACGUGCUACAAUGGACAAUACAAAGGGCAGCGAAACCGCGAGGUCAAGCAAAUCCCAUAAAGUUGUUCUCAGUUCGGAUUGUAGUCUGCAACUCGACUACAUGAAGCUGGAAUCGCUAGUAAUCGUAGAUCAGCAUGCUACGGUGAAUACGUUCCCGGGUCU
This 1372-nucleotide ribosomal RNA is filed under the name uncultured bacterium. Its description in RNAcentral is "bacterial SSU rRNA". It matches the Rfam family "Bacterial small subunit ribosomal RNA", at positions 28 to 1381 of the family's 1533-position model. The record is from RNAcentral.